RNAcentral lists this non-coding RNA (21 nucleotides) under Arabidopsis thaliana (thale cress). The record is from RNAcentral. Lineage: Eukaryota; Viridiplantae; Streptophyta; Magnoliopsida; Brassicales; Brassicaceae.
UCAACGAGUUCACACCUUGGC